AAACGUGAAACAAAUCCUUUUUUGAAAUUUUCCCGCUCUGUCGUGCCGGAGCUCAUCGCCGGCAGCGACGGAGCUUCAAAACAAAAAUUAGAACCAUCAAUCCCUCCGUCUCAACCUUCUAAACUCGAAACCACGAACCAAAGUUCCUAAAUCCUAAGUACAAGGUUGAAUCGAAGCCAGAAACAACAAGAACUGUAAAUCUAAAAACAAAAAUUAAAUGGUGGUGGGAGGGAAUCAAAGCCUAAAACCAGAGGGCUUUGAUUCCUUAUAACUUGCACUACAUGGUGGUAAGUGAAACAUGGAUAACCGAGGGUUUCAGCAAACUACCUCGCCGAAGAAGGUGACCAGAGCAACGACAAUGGCAACAAAAAUGUUCAGGUUAGAUCUUUCUCUUUGUUACUUCUCUUAGUGUGUUUUGAUUCUUCUUCUGUUAUGAGGGUGAGUCAGAAAAAUCAGAGGUUUAGUUGAGUGAUUGAGAGGAUUCAGGAUGGGUCGAGACUUAGGGUUUUCUGGAUAUUAGUGGGCUCGAGACUUAGUUUUUUUUGUAUGCUGAAAACUGUAGCUUUUUUGGUUUAUGGAUAUCGGGGCUACUAGAGUUUUUAGUUGUUCUUCUUUUUAUAGUGAAAAAGUUAGGAUUUUCUGCAUCAGUGGACAAAGGUAAAUUGAUAGUGGACUUGGAAAUUUUUGUCGUGUUGCAGAGCAUGUCUCCUUAAUUGUGUGUUUUGUUUCUGAUAAACUGAAUCGUACCAUGUACUUAAGGCAAAUUGAUAGUGGACUUGGAAAUUUUUGUUGUGUUGCAGAGCAUGUCUCCUUAAUUGUGUGUUUUGUUUCUGAUAAAGUGAAUUGUACCAUGUAGUUUCCUUGUGAAAAUGUGUUUUGUCUGUUUUACCAGUGUGCUCUUUUUACUGCAGUGAAAAAGUGAAUGAGUGAAAUGUGGUUUGUUGUGUUAAUUGUUAUGGUUUGCAUUUUUGUUGUGAGUUGUGAUGUUUUAAUGAGAUGUUGCUCAUUGUUGUUAUGCAUUGUAGGAUAUUACAUUGAUAACUGGUGUGGUUUUGUGGAUUGCCUUGAUUGGCUUGGCAUGGCAUGUUGUGUGGUUUGCUCAUGAACUGCUUGAACUAAAUUGGGUGUUUGCAGGACUGAUGUAGCUUUGUUGUGCCAGUCUUCGAAUGUCGGGUUUGGAAUUGGUGUGAACUGCAAGAUAGUUGAUGCCUUCUUGAUGACCUGCUGCAGGUUGGACUUAUUGCUGAAGCUGCAGUGCAAGGUGUUUAGGAUGUUAUGGUUAUUGAUGCAGGUUGAGUUGCAUUGUUGCAAUCAGGAGAUGUUGCUCUUGAUGCAACCCUGUUAUGUGAUGUGUGAAUUUUUGUUGCAACUUGUUUUGUAUUGUAGGUUUUGAUGUGAUGCUCAUGGUGUUGAAUAUGGAGGUCUGAUGAUGCAUUGGUAUAGGCCUACUGCAUGUGGCUUAUGGUUGUUAUCAUAUUGUUGCUGAAAGUUGGAAUUGUUUGUUGCAGCUUUGCUCAUAGACCCAUCUCAUGGUGCAUUGGCCUUGCUUGUUGCAACUUUGAUGAUGGAAUGAUAUUGUUUUGAUGGGCUGCAUUGACAUUGCUUAUGGUCCAUAGUGUGAUGGAAUGAGCCUGUUGGAGAUUGGACUUGCAUUGUUGUUUGUAACAUGUAGUAGAACUAAGGCCUUCGGUGCACAUGAUCAUGUAAAUUCCAUCAAACACCUUCAUUAAUUUAAUGCACCUUUCAUGGAUGAAUGUUA
This is a long non-coding RNA of Lathyrus oleraceus (garden pea), 1759 nucleotides long. RefSeq lists it as uncharacterized. The record is from RefSeq and is a predicted model, not a curated record. The transcript has 2 exons. NCBI's taxonomy places the organism in Eukaryota, Viridiplantae, Streptophyta, Magnoliopsida, Fabales, Fabaceae.